Long non-coding RNA from Beta vulgaris subsp. vulgaris (sugar beet), 575 nucleotides. RefSeq lists it as uncharacterized. The record is from RefSeq and is a predicted model, not a curated record. The transcript is spliced from 2 exons. Lineage: Eukaryota; Viridiplantae; Streptophyta; Magnoliopsida; Caryophyllales; Amaranthaceae.
UUGAAAAGAAGGUUAUAAACAUUGUUUCUCAUUUCAAUACAUUAUCUUUCUCAUUUCAUUACAUUAUCUAUGCAUUUCAUACAUUAAUAUCUUUCUUGGCCUUACAUUGUCAGAAGGAAGAUUAUUGUUGGCCUUACAUUAUCAGAAGGCGAAAGCAAAACUGAAGUGCUAUACUAAUUGGUGAUAUCUUUUUUGAGUCAGAAAGAUACCAAGCAUUUUCUUCAUCCUCAUCGUCGUAGUUGUUCAUGGCCUCCUGAAGAUGCAGCAGUUCCCCCACACUGAUUUCUUCAUCCAAUCUCCAAGUGUUCAGACAAUUUUCUUCCAUUUCCAGCAGCUCAUCCAUGGAGAUAUCAAAAUCGUCAUUGUGACAAUGUGUACCAUUAUCCAUUAGUGUACCAAAGUGAGAGUGUGUGUUGUGUAAGUGAGUCUGAGAAAGUAGGAGAGUUUUUUUUUUUGUAAUAUUGUAAACAAUCUACUGUUGGAGAGAGGACCUGCUUCAUCUUUUAUAAGUAAAAAAUUUGUAAAUGGUUGACUUUUAGGUUUUGGUGGGAAAUAAAAAAAAACCCAAAAUUUCA